Molecule: ribosomal RNA, 470 nt
Filed under: Pichia sp. TCJ3
Lineage: Eukaryota; Fungi; Ascomycota; Pichiomycetes; Pichiales; Pichiaceae
Description: eukaryotic LSU rRNA
Rfam family: 5.8S ribosomal RNA (bases 133-285)
Source: RNAcentral
AGUCGUAACAAGGUUUCCGUAGGUGAACCUGCGGAAGGAUCAUUACUGUGAAUAUAACUUCCACACAUGCGUGAGCGCACAAAACACACAAACCGUGAGUAUUUCUAGUCGAAAACAAAACAAAAAAUACAAAACUUUCAACAACGGAUCUCUUGGUUCUCGCAUCGAUGAAGAGCGCAGCGAAAUGCGAUACCUAGUGUGAAUUGCAGCCAUCGUGAAUCAUCGAGUUCUUGAACGCACAUUGCGCCCGUCGGUAUUCCGGCGGGCAUGCCUGUCUGAGCGUCGUUUCCUUCUUGAAGCUUUUUUUUAAAGAAAGAUUCAGAAUUGGCCGUGCCACUGGCCCGGCCGAAAAGAAACGUUGCGGACGAAGCGAACUACAUCGGGACGCUUUGGCCGCCGAGCGAAAAUAUAUCAUUGAGCUCGACCUCAGAUCAGGUAGGAGUACCCGCUGAACUUAAGCAUAUCAAUAA